GACGAACGCUGGCGGCGUGCUUAACACAUGCAAGUCGAACGGAAAGGCCCUGCUUUUGUGGGGUGCUCGAGUGGCGAACGGGUGAGUAACACGUGAGUAACCUGCCCUUGACUUUGGGAUAACUUCAGGAAACUGGGGCUAAUACCGGUUAGGAGCUCCUGCUGCAUGGUGGGGGUUGGAAAGUUUCGGCGGUUGGGGAUGGACUCGCGGCUUAUCAGCUUGUUGGUGGGGUAGUGGCUUACCAAGGCUUUGACGGGUAGCCGGCCUGAGAGGGUGACCGGCCACAUUGGGACUGGGAUACGGCCCAGACUCCUACGGGAGGCAGCAGUGGGGAAUAUUGCACAAUGGGCGGAAGCCUGAUGCAGCAACGCCGCGUGCGGGAUGACGGCCUUCGGGUUGUAAACCGCUUUCGCCUGUGACGAAGCGUGAGUGACGGUAAUGGGUAAAGAAGCACCGGCUAACUACGUG
Molecule: ribosomal RNA, 468 nt
Filed under: uncultured bacterium
Lineage: Bacteria
Description: partial 16S ribosomal RNA
Rfam family: Bacterial small subunit ribosomal RNA
Source: RNAcentral